GCGAGUAUGGCCCUCACGGGUCUAAUCCACCAUAAACACCUUUGUGAACCAGUCAGGGGGACUCGGCCGAGAAAGCCCAGGCGAUUAGCGGAAGGGCCCUCCUUUGCAAACCCGUUUAGAAGUCUUGAAAGUACUUUUGUAUAAUCUAGUA
RNAcentral lists this unclassified non-coding RNA (151 nucleotides) under soil metagenome. RNAcentral describes it as "partial internal transcribed spacer 1". The record is from RNAcentral.